UUAAGCGACUAAGCGUACACGGUGGAUGCCCUGGCAGUCAGAGGCGAUGAAGGACGUGCUAAUCUGCGAUAAGCGUCGGUAAGGUGAUAUGAACCGUUAUAACCGGCGAUUUCCGAAUGGGGAAACCCAGUGUGUUUCGACACACUAUCAUUAACUGAAUCCAUAGGUUAAUGAGGCGAACCGGGGGAACUGAAACAUCUAAGUACCCCGAGGAAAAGAAAUCAACCGAGAUUCCCCCAGUAGCGGCGAGCGAACGGGGAGCAGCCCAGAGCCUGAAUCAGUGUGUGUGUUAGUGGAAGCGUCUGGAAAGGCGCGCGAUACAGGGUGACAGCCCCGUACACAAAAAUGCACAUGCUGUGAGCUCGAUGAGUAGGGCGGGACACGUGGUAUCCUGUCUGAAUAUGGGGGGACCAUCCUCCAAGGCUAAAUACUCCUGACUGACCGAUAGUGAACCAGUACCGUGAGGGAAAGGCGAAAAGAACCCCGGCGAGGGGAGUGAAAAAGAACCUGAAACCGUGUACGUACAAGCAGUGGGAGCACGCUUAGGCGUGUGACUGCGUACCUUUUGUAUAAUGGGUCAGCGACUUAUAUUCUGUAGCAAGGUUAACCGAAUAGGGGAGCCGAAGGGAAACCGAGUCUUAACUGGGCGUUAAGUUGCAGGGUAUAGACCCGAAACCCGGUGAUCUAGCCAUGGGCAGGUUGAAGGUUGGGUAACACUAACUGGAGGACCGAACCGACUAAUGUUGAAAAAUUAGCGGAUGACUUGUGGCUGGGGGUGAAAGGCCAAUCAAACCGGGAGAUAGCUGGUUCUCCCCGAAAGCUAUUUAGGUAGCGCCUCGUGAAUUCAUCUCCGGGGGUAGAGCACUGUUUCGGCAAGGGGGUCAUCCCGACUUACCAACCCGAUGCAAACUGCGAAUACCGGAGAAUGUUAUCACGGGAGACACACGGCGGGUGCUAACGUCCGUCGUGAAGAGGGAAACAACCCAGACCGCCAGCUAAGGUCCCAAAGUCAUGGUUAAGUGGGAAACGAUGUGGGAAGGCCCAGACAGCCAGGAUGUUGGCUUAGAAGCAGCCAUCAUUUAAAGAAAGCGUAAUAGCUCACUGGUCGAGUCGGCCUGCGCGGAAGAUGUAACGGGGCUAAACCAUGCACCGAAGCUGCGGCAGCGACGCUUAUGCGUUGUUGGGUAGGGGAGCGUUCUGUAAGCCUGCGAAGGUGUGCUGUGAGGCAUGCUGGAGGUAUCAGAAGUGCGAAUGCUGACAUAAGUAACGAUAAAGCGGGUGAAAAGCCCGCUCGCCGGAAGACCAAGGGUUCCUGUCCAACGUUAAUCGGGGCAGGGUGAGUCGACCCCUAAGGCGAGGCCGAAAGGCGUAGUCGAUGGGAAACAGGUUAAUAUUCCUGUACUUGGUGUUACUGCGAAGGGGGGACGGAGAAGGCUAUGUUGGCCGGGCGACGGUUGUCCCGGUUUAAGCGUGUAGGCUGGUUUUCCAGGCAAAUCCGGAAAAUCAAGGCUGAGGCGUGAUGACGAGGCACUACGGUGCUGAAGCAACAAAUGCCCUGCUUCCAGGAAAAGCCUCUAAGCAUCAGGUAACAUCAAAUCGUACCCCAAACCGACACAGGUGGUCAGGUAGAGAAUACCAAGGCGCUUGAGAGAACUCGGGUGAAGGAACUAGGCAAAAUGGUGCCGUAACUUCGGGAGAAGGCACGCUGAUAUGUAGGUGAAGUCCCUCGCGGAUGGAGCUGAAAUCAGUCGAAGAUACCAGCUGGCUGCAACUGUUUAUUAAAAACACAGCACUGUGCAAACACGAAAGUGGACGUAUACGGUGUGACGCCUGCCCGGUGCCGGAAGGUUAAUUGAUGGGGUUAGCGGUAACGCGAAGCUCUUGAUCGAAGCCCCGGUAAACGGCGGCCGUAACUAUAACGGUCCUAAGGUAGCGAAAUUCCUUGUCGGGUAAGUUCCGACCUGCACGAAUGGCGUAAUGAUGGCCAGGCUGUCUCCACCCGAGACUCAGUGAAAUUGAACUCGCUGUGAAGAUGCAGUGUACCCGCGGCAAGACGGAAAGACCCCGUGAACCUUUACUAUAGCUUGACACUGAACAUUGAGCCUUGAUGUGUAGGAUAGGUGGGAGGCUUUGAAGUGUGGACGCCAGUCUGCAUGGAGCCGACCUUGAAAUACCACCCUUUAAUGUUUGAUGUUCUAACGUUGACCCGUGAUCCGGGUUGCGGACAGUGUCUGGUGGGUAGUUUGACUGGGGCGGUCUCCUCCUAAAGAGUAACGGAGGAGCACGAAGGUUGGCUAAUCCUGGUCGGACAUCAGGAGGUUAGUGCAAUGGCAUAAGCCAGCUUGACUGCGAGCGUGACGGCGCGAGCAGGUGCGAAAGCAGGUCAUAGUGAUCCGGUGGUUCUGAAUGGAAGGGCCAUCGCUCAACGGAUAAAAGGUACUCCGGGGAUAACAGGCUGAUACCGCCCAAGAGUUCAUAUCGACGGCGGUGUUUGGCACCUCGAUGUCGGCUCAUCACAUCCUGGGGCUGAAGUAGGUCCCAAGGGUAUGGCUGUUCGCCAUUUAAAGUGGUACGCGAGCUGGGUUUAGAACGUCGUGAGACAGUUCGGUCCCUAUCUGCCGUGGGCGCUGGAGAACUGAGGGGGGCUGCUCCUAGUACGAGAGGACCGGAGUGGACGCAUCACUGGUGUUCGGGUUGUCAUGCCAAUGGCACUGCCCGGUAGCUAAAUGCGGAAGAGAUAAGUGCUGAAAGCAUCUAAGCACGAAACUUGCCCCGAGAUGAGUUCUCCCUGACCCUUUAAGGGUCCUGAAGGAACGUUGAAGACGACGACGUUGAUAGGCCGGGUGUGUAAGCGCAGCGAUGCGUUGAGCUAACCGGUACUAAUGAACCGUGAGGCUUAACCU
RNAcentral lists this ribosomal RNA (2903 nucleotides) under Escherichia coli. RNAcentral's name for it is "23S ribosomal RNA". It matches the Rfam family "Bacterial large subunit ribosomal RNA". The record is from RNAcentral. Lineage: Bacteria; Pseudomonadati; Pseudomonadota; Gammaproteobacteria; Enterobacterales; Enterobacteriaceae.